Molecule: ribosomal RNA, 628 nt
Filed under: uncultured Xanthobacter sp.
Lineage: Bacteria; Pseudomonadati; Pseudomonadota; Alphaproteobacteria; Hyphomicrobiales; Xanthobacteraceae
Description: bacterial SSU rRNA
Rfam family: Bacterial small subunit ribosomal RNA
Source: RNAcentral
UGGGAGCGGCAGACGGGUGAGUAACGCGUGGGGAUCUACCCAUUGGUACGGAAUAACCCAGGGAAACUUGGACUAAUACCGUAUGUGCCCUUCGGGGGAAAGAUUUAUCGCCAAUGGAUGAACCCGCGUCGGAUUAGCUAGUUGGUGAGGUAAAGGCUCACCAAGGCGACGAUCCGUAGCUGGUCUGAGAGGAUGAUCAGCCACACUGGGACUGAGACACGGCCCAGACUCCUACGGGAGGCAGCAGUGGGGAAUAUUGGACAAUGGGCGCAAGCCUGAUCCAGCCAUGCCGCGUGAGUGAUGAAGGCCUUAGGGUUGUAAAGCUCUUUCGCCGGUGAAGAUAAUGACGGUAACCGGAGAAGAAGCCCCGGCUAACUUCGUGCCAGCAGCCGCGGUAAUACCAAGGGGGCUAGCGUUGCUCGGAAUCACUGGGCGUAAAGCGCACGUAGGCGGAUCGUUAAGUCAGGGGUGAAAUCCUGGGGCUCAACCUCAGAACUGCCCUUGAUACUGGCGAUCUCGAGUUCGAGAGAGGUUGGUGGAACUCCGAGUGUAGAGGUGAAAUUCGUAGAUAUUCGGAAGAACACCAGUGGCGAAGGCGGCCAACUGGCUCGAUACUGACGCUGAGGUG